GUGAACGCUGGCGGUAGGCCUAACACAUGCAAGUCGAACGGCAGCACAGUAAGAGCUUGCUCUUACGGGUGGCGAGUGGCGGACGGGUGAGGAAUACAUCGGAAUCUACUUUUUCGUGGGGGAUAACGUAGGGAAACUUACGCUAAUACCGCAUACGACCUACGGGUGAAAGCAGGGGAUCUUCGGACCUUGCGCGAUUGAAUGAGCCGAUGUCGGAUUAGCUAGUUGGCGGGGUAAAGCCCCACCAAGGCGACGAUCCGUAGCUGGUCUGAGAGGAUGAUCAGCCACACUGGAACUGAGACACGGUCCAGACUCCUACGGGAGGCAGCAGUGGGGAAUAUUGGAUAAAGGGCGCAAGCCUGAUCCAGCCAUACCGCGUGGGUGAAGAAGGCCUUCGGGUUGUAAAGCCCUUUUGUUGGGAAAGAAAAGCAGCAGGUUAAUACCCCGCUGUUCUGACGGUACCCAAAGAAUAAGCACCGGCUAACUUCGUG
RNAcentral lists this ribosomal RNA (491 nucleotides) under uncultured bacterium. RNAcentral describes it as "partial 16S ribosomal RNA". It matches the Rfam family "Bacterial small subunit ribosomal RNA", at positions 29 to 507 of the family's 1533-position model. The record is from RNAcentral.